This 1088-nucleotide long non-coding RNA is filed under the name Rosa chinensis. RNAcentral's name for it is "sRNA RchiOBHm_Chr1g0323171". The record is from RNAcentral. Lineage: Eukaryota; Viridiplantae; Streptophyta; Magnoliopsida; Rosales; Rosaceae.
UUUUUUCUUUUCCCUAUUUUCCUCCCCCGGUUUCUCUCUUCUCUCUCCUCGCCCCCGAUACUUCCUCUCUUUCUGGGCUUCCUUCCUCCGCCUGCAGCGCCGCCGUCCGUAGACGCCAAGCCGCCCCUGAGCCACCACAGCUUCGCCUUGACCUCUCCUAGCUGCUGGACGUGAUCUUUUCCACCGGGACGGCCUCAAAUCCGGCAGAUCGGAGCUGCAAGCUUUGAACCACAAAAGGGUCAACGCCGGUUUUCUCCUAGUUCCGGCAACCAAAACUUCCGAUCCUUGGCUUCCUGAACUCGCCUCAACCUCCUUAGCAAGCACCAAGAAGGACUGGACCUGGUUUGAAGGUUUUCACGUUCGUCGUCGGAGCCGACCGGUUUUCGAUCGAAAACCAACCUUUCGAUCGAGAUAUCUCGAGUUACAGACCACCUAUUCCUGUAAUUCUUGAGCUAGUGAACUCCGAUUGAAGUUCUGAACAACUUCCAUGAAGGGAUCAAAGCGAGUUGUUGAAUUUUUACGUCGGAAUUCAAGCUCGCCGGAUUCUGGAAUUUUUCCGGCCACCGAAGCUUUCGAUCAAGAUAUCUCGAGUUGUAGAGCUUCGUUUUGAGUGAUUCUUGAACCAGUGAGUUCACCUUGAUGUUAUUAACAACUCUCCAGAAGGAAUAGAGGCCUGAAAGUGAAGGUUUUACGUCGAAAUCAAGCUCGCCAGUUCUGCAAAUUAUCGCCGGAUUCUGGAAAUUUUCCGGCCAACCCGACUGUUCGAGGGGGAUAAUUCAUAUUUUGAAGAGCUGUAUCAUGGAAGAGGGAGGAAUCAGGCAUUGCAGAAGAAGUCGCACAAGCAGGAGGUAUUUUGACUGAUCCAAUUGAAAGCAACAGCUCAUCACCACCUCCAGAAGCAGAAGCUCCUACCAUCACUUCUACCCCUGACCCACAACUCCCUGGUACUGAAGAUCACCCAUUUGAGAUGUUGCAUAUGCACAUCAACAUCUUUAAUUUGUUCCUUCAACUUCUCAUUUACCUUCUAAACGGGAAAGAAGAUGAGAUUGAAUGUAUUUUCCAUUAAUCUUUCCAGAACCAACUGGAAU